RNAcentral lists this long non-coding RNA (1413 nucleotides) under Sus scrofa (pig). RNAcentral describes it as "lncRNA (ENSSSCG00015015654.1)". Lineage: Eukaryota; Metazoa; Chordata; Mammalia; Artiodactyla; Suidae. The record is from RNAcentral.
AGCUGCUCUUUGUGUGACGCAUUUCCUCACCCAGCCGCAGAUUGCAACAGAGGAGAUGAGAUAAAGAUGAGGAACCUCAACAGAAAGGAUGGAUGUAAACAGUGGGUUUGCUGUGCAGUGACAAGAGCCCAGCUUGGGAAGGGUGUUGAGUGGGGUGAAGAUGUCACAGGAACUCACGAAAGCCAGAGGAGUUCACAGUUCAGAGAAGGUCACCUUUAUUGAACUGUUUUCCUGUUGGCCAUCCCUUCUGGGCCCCAAGUUCUGCAUUUGCAGCAUCUGGCACAGUGCUGGGCACAUCCUGAGCUUGAGAAAAGGAACCUGGGCAGGAGGAGAUAAGCCAAUAUAUCUGCCUGUUGAGCCUACAGUUAAAAAUAAUUAUAGAGAACAUGGUGAUGCUUCAGAAACUGUCAGGAUCUUUACUCUUUGUCCAGGAAGCCCUGAACUGUCAUUGGAAAUAAGGUGCCAGAACCACAGAUGUCCUUAGGCAGAUGAAGCUGAGUGGAUACUUGGACCUGUAAAGAAGGAAAAGCUGAAUCUGCUCUGGGGUUUCCACAUGACAAGUUCCCCCUACCUUUCUCUGCUGGGUCAGCUUCAUGGUGGCUGUGAAGACCCUGACCCAAGUCUGAGGUAGCUAGAGUCCAGGCAGUGCUGGAAGUCAACAUCAGCAUGGCCCUGGGGUUGCAAGAUGUGCCAAGGACCAACUUGGGGCCUAAGAGUACCAUGAAGAUGCUUGUUGCUCGUAUAAGAGACCUCAAGCUUACUAAAGAUGGGAGUGUGCUGCUUCCUGAAAGGCAAAUUCAACACCGACAAGCCUCCUCAAUAGCCAAAAUAGCAACAGCUCGGGAUGAUAUAACUGUUGAUGGUACUACUUCUAAUGUCCUAAUCAUUGGAGAGCUCCUGAAAUAGGCAGAUCCCUGAAUUUCCGAAGGUCUUCAUCCAAGAAUAAUAACAGAAGGAUGUGAAACUGCCAAGGAAAAGACACUUCGGUUUUUGGAACAAGUCAAAGUAAGCAAAGAGGUGAACAGGGAAACACUUACAGAUGUGGCUGGAACAUCUCUCCACAGUAAAGUUCAUGAUGAACUUGCUGAUGUCCUAGAGGCUGUAACAGAUACCUUUUUGGCCAUUAAAAAACAAGAACGUAUUGACCUCUUCAUAGUUGAGAUCAGGGAGAUAAAACAUAAAUCUGAUACCAAUACAUGUUUAAUCAUAGGUCUUGUUUUGGAUCAUGGGGCAUGGGAUCCUGAUGUGAAAAAGGGAGUGGAAGAUGCAUACACCCUCACAUACACAUGUCAUUAGCAUAUGAAAAAGCAAAAGUGAACUCUGGCUUCUCUCUCUCUCUCUUUUUUAUAGGAGUUCAGAAGAGAGAGAGAAACUGGGGAAAGCAGAGAGAAAAUUCAUUGAAAAUUGGGUCCU